GGGUUGUGAGGUUAAGCGACUAAGCGUACACGGUGGAUGCCCUGGCAGUCAGAGGCGAUGAAGGACGUGCUAAUCUGCGAUAAGCGUCGGUAAGGUGAUAUGAACCGUUAUAACCGGCGAUUUCCGAAUGGGGAAACCCAGUGUGUUUCGACACACUAUCAUUAACUGAAUCCAUAGGUUAAUGAGGCGAACCGGGGGAACUGAAACAUCUAAGUACCCCGAGGAAAAGAAAUCAACCGAGAUUCCCCCAGUAGCGGCGAGCGAACGGGGAGCAGCCCAGAGCCUGAAUCAGUGUGUGUGUUAGUGGAAGCGUCUGGAAAGGCGCGCGAUACAGGGUGACAGCCCCGUACACAAAAAUGCACAUGCUGUGAGCUCGAUGAGUAGGGCGGGACACGUGGUAUCCUGUCUGAAUAUGGGGGACCAUCCUCCAAGGCUAAAUACUCCUGACUGACCGAUAGUGAACCAGUACCGUGAGGGAAAGGCGAAAAGAACCCCGGCGAGGGGAGUGAAAAAGAACCUGAAACCGUGUACGUACAAGCAGUGGGAGCACGCUUAGGCGUGUGACUGCGUACCUUUUGUAUAAUGGGUCAGCGACUUAUAUUCUGUAGCAAGGUUAACCGAAUAGGGGAGCCGAAGGGAAACCGAGUCUUAACUGGGCGUUAAGUUGCAGGGUAUAGACCCGAAACCCGGUGAUCUAGCCAUGGGCAGGUUGAAGGUUGGGUAACACUAACUGGAGGACCGAACCGACUAAUGUUGAAAAAUUAGCGGAUGACUUGUGGCUGGGGGUGAAAGGCCAAUCAAACCGGGAGAUAGCUGGUUCUCCCCGAAAGCUAUUUAGGUAGCGCCUCGUGAAUUCAUCUCCGGGGGUAGAGCACUGUUUCGGCAAGGGGGUCAUCCCGACUUACCAACCCGAUGCAAACUGCGAAUACCGGAGAAUGUUAUCACGGGAGACACACGGCGGGUGCUAACGUCCGUCGUGAAGAGGGAAACAACCCAGACCGCCAGCUAAGGUCCCAAAGUCAUGGUUAAGUGGGAAACGAUGUGGGAAGGCCCAGACAGCCAGGAUGUUGGCUUAGAAGCAGCCAUCAUUUAAAGAAAGCGUAAUAGCUCACUGGUCGAGUCGGCCUGCGCGGAAGAUGUAACGGGGCUAAACCAUGCACCGAAGCUGCGGCAGCGACGCUUAUGCGUUGUUGGGUAGGGGAGCGUUCUGUAAGCCUGCGAAGGUGUGCUGUGAGGCAUGCUGGAGGUAUCAGAAGUGCGAAUGCUGACAUAAGUAACGAUAAAGCGGGUGAAAAGCCCGCUCGCCGGAAGACCAAGGGUUCCUGUCCAACGUUAAUCGGGGCAGGGUGAGUCGACCCCUAAGGCGAGGCCGAAAGGCGUAGUCGAUGGGAAACAGGUUAAUAUUCCUGUACUUGGUGUUACUGCGAAGGGGGGACGGAGAAGGCUAUGUUGGCCGGGCGACGGUUGUCCCGGUUUAAGCGUGUAGGCUGGUUUUCCAGGCAAAUCCGGAAAAUCAAGGCUGAGGCGUGAUGACGAGGCACUACGGUGCUGAAGCAACAAAUGCCCUGCUUCCAGGAAAAGCCUCUAAGCAUCAGGUAACAUCAAAUCGUACCCCAAACCGACACAGGUGGUCAGGUAGAGAAUACCAAGGCGCUUGAGAGAACUCGGGUGAAGGAACUAGGCAAAAUGGUGCCGUAACUUCGGGAGAAGGCACGCUGAUAUGUAGGUGAAGUCCCUCGCGGAUGGAGCUGAAAUCAGUCGAAGAUACCAGCUGGCUGCAACUGUUUAUUAAAAACACAGCACUGUGCAAACACGAAAGUGGACGUAUACGGUGUGACGCCUGCCCGGUGCCGGAAGGUUAAUUGAUGGGGUUAGCGCAAGCGAAGCUCUUGAUCGAAGCCCCGGUAAACGGCGGCCGUAACUAUAACGGUCCUAAGGUAGCGAAAUUCCUUGUCGGGUAAGUUCCGACCUGCACGAAUGGCGUAAUGAUGGCCAGGCUGUCUCCACCCGAGACUCAGUGAAAUUGAACUCGCUGUGAAGAUGCAGUGUACCCGCGGCAAGACGGAAAGACCCCGUGAACCUUUACUAUAGCUUGACACUGAACAUUGAGCCUUGAUGUGUAGGAUAGGUGGGAGGCUUUGAAGUGUGGACGCCAGUCUGCAUGGAGCCGACCUUGAAAUACCACCCUUUAAUGUUUGAUGUUCUAACGUGGACCCGUAAUCCGGGUUGCGGACAGUGUCUGGUGGGUAGUUUGACUGGGGCGGUCUCCUCCUAAAGAGUAACGGAGGAGCACGAAGGUUGGCUAAUCCUGGUCGGACAUCAGGAGGUUAGUGCAAUGGCAUAAGCCAGCUUGACUGCGAGCGUGACGGCGCGAGCAGGUGCGAAAGCAGGUCAUAGUGAUCCGGUGGUUCUGAAUGGAAGGGCCAUCGCUCAACGGAUAAAAGGUACUCCGGGGAUAACAGGCUGAUACCGCCCAAGAGUUCAUAUCGACGGCGGUGUUUGGCACCUCGAUGUCGGCUCAUCACAUCCUGGGGCUGAAGUAGGUCCCAAGGGUAUGGCUGUUCGCCAUUUAAAGUGGUACGCGAGCUGGGUUUAGAACGUCGUGAGACAGUUCGGUCCCUAUCUGCCGUGGGCGCUGGAGAACUGAGGGGGGCUGCUCCUAGUACGAGAGGACCGGAGUGGACGCAUCACUGGUGUUCGGGUUGUCAUGCCAAUGGCACUGCCCGGUAGCUAAAUGCGGAAGAGAUAAGUGCUGAAAGCAUCUAAGCACGAAACUUGCCCCGAGAUGAGUUCUCCCUGACUCCUUGAGAGUCCUGAAGGAACGUUGAAGACGACGACGUUGAUAGGCCGGGUGUGUAAGCGCAGCGAUGCGUUGAGCUAACCGGUACUAAUGAACCGUGAGGCUUAACCUUACAACGCCGAAGGUGUUU
This 2930-nucleotide ribosomal RNA is filed under the name Escherichia coli. RNAcentral's name for it is "23S ribosomal RNA". It matches the Rfam family "Bacterial large subunit ribosomal RNA". Lineage: Bacteria; Pseudomonadati; Pseudomonadota; Gammaproteobacteria; Enterobacterales; Enterobacteriaceae. The record is from RNAcentral.